GUAUUCCGCCCGGUGGGAACCUCGGCCCGUGCCACCUUUCUGGUUCUCUCGGAGGCCUUUCACAGUAGCUUCAGCUGCGCCUUGACGGUUCCCGGCACUCGCGGUGCAGCUGUUCCGGGAGGCUGGAAGCCAACCUCGAAAUUGAACUCAGGACCUUGCCCUCUUGAGGCAGGCGCGGUGCCAUUGAGCUAAAUCCCUGCCCCCUUCCAUUUUUAUCUUAAAUUGUCAAGCAAUAUAAUGAAGUGGAAAUACCCACGUUCGCAUUAAAGUCAGAAUGAGCAUCGGGUUUAGUCACUAGCAGCAUCCAUCACCUCAGUGAGCCUGGGUGGUGUUGAGAGCAAAUACUACCAACAUUGGAAAAUGUACAGAUUUUCGUGGCAAGUCUAGUUUGAAAUGAUGGGCCCUUUUCAUAGGCUCCCACUGAAUAAUUUUGGGCAUAGGUGGUGACUGCCUACAAAAAGCAGAAAUCCCUUCACAUUGGCAAUCAUUCUGGAAAGAGGAAUUUCC
This 507-nucleotide long non-coding RNA is filed under the name Heterocephalus glaber (naked mole-rat). RNAcentral describes it as "lncRNA (ENSHGLG00000047151.1)". The record is from RNAcentral. Lineage: Eukaryota; Metazoa; Chordata; Mammalia; Rodentia; Bathyergidae.